UAAUGUCUGGGAAACUGCCUGAUGGAGGGGGAUAACUACUGGAAACGGUAGCUAAUACCGCAUAACGUCGCAAGACCAAAGAGGGGGACCUUCGGGCCUCUUGCCAUCGGAUGUGCCCAGAUGGGAUUAGCUAGUAGGUGGGGUAACGGCUCACCUAGGCGACGAUCCCUAGCUGGUCUGAGAGGAUGACCAGCCACACUGGAACUGAGACACGGUCCAGACUCCUACGGGAGGCAGCAGUGGGGAAUAUUGCACAAUGGGCGCAAGCCUGAUGCAGCCAUGCCGCGUGUAUGAAGAAGGCCUUCGGGUUGUAAAGUACUUUCAGCGGGGAGGAA
RNAcentral lists this ribosomal RNA (335 nucleotides) under Escherichia coli. RNAcentral describes it as "bacterial SSU rRNA". It matches the Rfam family "Bacterial small subunit ribosomal RNA", at positions 111 to 449 of the family's 1533-position model. The record is from RNAcentral. Lineage: Bacteria; Pseudomonadati; Pseudomonadota; Gammaproteobacteria; Enterobacterales; Enterobacteriaceae.